GAUGAACGCUGGCGGCGUGCCUAAUACAUGCAAGUCGAGCGAACGGACGAGAAGCUUGCUUCUCUGAUGUUAGCGGCGGACGGGUGAGUAACACGUGGAUAACCUACCUAUAAGACUGGGAUAACUUCGGGAAACCGGAGCUAAUACCGGAUAAUAUUUUGAACCGCAUGGUUCAAAAGUGAAAGACGGUCUUGCUGUCACUUAUAGAUGGAUCCGCGCUGCAUUAGCUAGUUGGUAAGGUAACGGCUUACCAAGGCAACGAUGCAUAGCCGACCUGAGAGGGUGAUCGGCCACACUGGAACUGAGACACGGUCCAGACUCCUACGGGAGGCAGCAGUAGGGAAUCUUCCGCAAUGGGCGAAAGCCUGACGGAGCAACGCCGCGUGAGUGAUGAAGGUCUUCGGAUCGUAAAACUCUGUUAUUAGGGAAGAACAUAUGUGUAAGUAACUGUGCACAUCUUGACGGUACCUAAUCAGAAAGCCACGGCUAACUACGUGCCAGCAGCCGCGGUAAUACGUAGGUGGCAAGCGUUAUCCGGAAUUAUUGGGCGUAAAGCGCGCGUAGGCGGUUUUUUAAGUCUGAUGUGAAAGCCCACGGCUCAACCGUGGAGGGUCAUUGGAAACUGGAAAACUUGAGUGCAGAAGAGGAAAGUGGAAUUCCAUGUGUAGCUGUGAAAUGCGCAGAGAUAUGGAGGAACACCAGUGGCGAAGGCGACUUUCUGGUCUGUAACUGACGCUGAUGUGCGAAAGCGUGGGGAUCAAACAGGAUUAGAUACCCUGGUAGUCCACGCCGUAAACGAUGAGUGCUAAGUGUUAGGGGGUUUCCGCCCCUUAGUGCUGCAGCUAACGCAUUAAGCACUCCGCCUGGGGAGUACGACCGCAAGGUUGAAACUCAAAGGAAUUGACGGGGACCCGCACAAGCGGUGGAGCAUGUGGUUUAAUUCGAAGCAACGCGAAGAACCUUACCAAAUCUUGACAUCCUUUGACAACUCUAGAGAUAGAGCUUUCCCCUUCGGGGGACAAAGUGACAGGUGGUGCAUGGUUGUCGUCAGCUCGUGUCGUGAGAUGUUGGGUUAAGUCCCGCAACGAGCGCAACCCUUAAGCUUAGUUGCCAUCAUUAAGUUGGGCACUCUAAGUUGACUGCCGGUGACAAACCGGAGGAAGGUGGGGAUGACGUCAAAUCAUCAUGCCCCUUAUGAUUUGGGCUACACACGUGCUACAAUGGACAAUACAAAGGGCAGCGAAACCGCGAGGUCAAGCAAAUCCCAUAAAGUUGUUCUCAGUUCGGAUUGUAGUCUGCAACUCGACUACAUGAAGCUGGAAUCGCUAGUAAUCGUAGAUCAGCAUGCUACGGUGAAUACGUUCCCGGGUCU
Molecule: ribosomal RNA, 1372 nt
Filed under: uncultured bacterium
Lineage: Bacteria
Description: bacterial SSU rRNA
Rfam family: Bacterial small subunit ribosomal RNA
Source: RNAcentral